GGAGGAAAAGAAACUAACAAGGAUUCCCCUAGUAACUGCGAGUGAAGCGGGAAAAGCUCAAAUUUAAAAUCUGGUGGUCUUUGGCCAUCCGAGUUGUAAUCUAGAGAAGUGUUACCCGUGUCGGACCGUGUACAAGUCUCCUGGAAUGGAGCGUCAUAGAGGGUGAGAAUCCCGUCUUUGACACGGACUACCGAGGCUUUGUGGUGCGCUCUCAAAGAGUCGAGUUGUUUGGGAAUGCAGCUCAAAAUGGGUGGUAAAUUCCAUCUAAAGCUAAAUAUUGGCGAGAGACCGAUAGCGAACAAGUACCGUGAGGGAAAGAUGAAAAGAACUUUGGAAAGAGAGUUAAACAGUACGUGAAAUUGCUGAAAGGGAAACGCUUGAAGUCAGUCGCGUUAGCUGGAAAUCAGCCUUGCUUUUGCUGGGUGUACUUUCUGGUUGACGGGCCAGCAUCAGUUUUGACCGGUGGAAAAAGUCUGGAGGAAUGUGGCAUCUUCGGAUGUGUUAUAGCCUUUGGUCGUAUGCAUCGAUUGGGACUGAGGAACUCAGCACUUGUGCUUAGGAUGCUGGCAUAAUGGCUUUAAUCGACCCGUCUUGAAACACGGACCAAGGAGUCUAACAUGCCUGCGAGUGUUUGGGUGGAAAACCCGGACGCGUAAUGAAAGUGAAAGUUGAGAUCCUUGUCAUGGGGAGCAUCGACGCCCGGACCAGAAGUUUUCUGACGGCCCUGCGGUAGAGCAUGUAUGUUGGGACCCGAAAGAUGGUGAACUAUGCCUGAAUAGGGUGAAGCCAGAGGAAACUCUGGUGGAGGCUCGUAGCGAUUCUGACGUGCAAAUCGAUCGUCAAAUUUGGGUAUAGGGGCGAAAGACUAAUCGAACCAUCUAGUACUGG
This 888-nucleotide ribosomal RNA is filed under the name Psathyrella ellenae var. yubaensis. RNAcentral's name for it is "eukaryotic LSU rRNA". It matches the Rfam family "Eukaryotic large subunit ribosomal RNA", at positions 52 to 954 of the family's 3401-position model. The record is from RNAcentral. Lineage: Eukaryota; Fungi; Basidiomycota; Agaricomycetes; Agaricales; Psathyrellaceae.